This 868-nucleotide ribosomal RNA is filed under the name uncultured Neocallimastigales. RNAcentral describes it as "partial large subunit ribosomal RNA". It matches the Rfam family "Eukaryotic large subunit ribosomal RNA", at positions 1 to 628 of the family's 3401-position model. Lineage: Eukaryota; Fungi; Neocallimastigomycota; Neocallimastigomycetes; Neocallimastigales. The record is from RNAcentral.
GUACACGCUGUGACUAGCAUAUCAAUAAGCGGAGGAAAAGUCAACUACCUACGCUUAGGAUGUUGACACACGCGCGUGCUCGAUGAUAGUCUAUACAUGACUCUGUGCAUAUCAAUAAGCGGAGGAAAAGAAACUAACAAGGAUUCCCCUAGUAACGGCGAGUGAAGCGGGAAGAGCUCAAAUUUGAAAUCUUAAUGGGUUUCCCUUUACGAAUUGUAGUUUAAAGAAGUGUUUUCUGUUGAGGUUUUGGUAAAAGUUCUUUGGAAUAGGACAUCAUAGAGGGUGAGAAUCCCGUAUUUGACCUUUACUUUCAACUUUGUGAUACACUUUCAAAGAGUCGGAUUGUUUGGGAAUGCAGUCCAAAAUGGGUGGUAAAUUUCAUCUAAAGCUAAAUAUUGGCGAGAGACCGAUAGCGAACAAGUACCGUGAGGGAAAGAUGAAAAGAACUUUGAAAAGAGAGUUAAACAGUACGUGAAAUUGUCAAAAGGGAAGCGUUUGACACCAGUGUUGUUUUUCUGAAAAUCAAUUAAAGAACUGUUUAUGCUAAGCUUGUUUAGACUUUAUCAGCUAAUCUGUUUAGUUUUGAGGCUUUUCUUUAAUGCACUUUUCAGUUAACAAGUCAACAUCAAUUUCUUUUGCUGUGAAAAAAGCUUGAGGAAGGUGGCUUGAGAUUCGUCUUAAGUGUUUAUAGCCUCUUGCCUAUGCAGUCGGAGAGAUUGAGGUCUGCAGCGUAGAUCCUUCGGGGCUAAAUGCAUUUGUGCUAAGUUAUAGCAUUUUAUAGACAACUUGUUGACUAUGAUUUGUCGUGUAGCUUACUCGCUUAUGUUAUUUUACCUACGCUUAGGAUGUUGAGUCGUAGAGCACGCAG